This 1702-nucleotide long non-coding RNA is filed under the name Homo sapiens (human). RNAcentral describes it as "HSALNT0364126". Lineage: Eukaryota; Metazoa; Chordata; Mammalia; Primates; Hominidae. The record is from RNAcentral.
UCCAGGCUGGUCUUGAACUUGUGAGCUUAAGCGAUCCACCUGCCUCGGCCUCCAGAAGUGCUGGGAUUACACGCAAUUGAGCCACCGAGCCGGGCCAACAGAGUAACUAUUUCAAGGUGCUUAAGAUACAGUAAUUUAACAGUGCAACCCCAGUGGUAUAUAGCCUAAGGACAAAAAGAAUUGAAGGAAACAAUCUUGAACUGUUUCAGUAAUCAUCUUUUUGGUGGUACUGUUGGUAUUAUUAUUCUGAGGUUGCUAUCUGUGUAUUAUGGGAUAAAGCAAAUGAGUAAUUAUGCUGGUACCAUUGGGAACUGGGACUUUUGGCAUAGGAAAAAGGAAAUAUAAAUAUAAAAUUAAUGUGGUUAAGUAAAAUUUCUGCAGUCCUGAAUUAUAAAUAGAAGUAUCAGUAUGAAUAAUUCAUGAUGUAUUUUAUCUUUAAAAAGUUUUCCACCUACCUCAAAUUCUCCAGGAAACCUGACAAAGGUGUGUCAAUUGUAUUAUCUGGCAACACCGCUUAUGGUAAAAAUGACCCCUGAUUGAUAAAUGACUUCUGGCCUGGGAAUUCUAUCUAAGAAUUAUAAAUACCUAAUGGAAAGCCAUAACUUUGAGCUUCCCUGAAUGUGGUGACUUCAUUUGAAGAGACCCUGGAAGUUAUGAUUGUGGAGUUGUUAUAAUAGAUUUAGUCUCCUAUGGGGUAUUGAGGCUGCUAGGCCAAGGCAGAUCCUCCAUCUGUUUGACAUGAGCCUUGUUCCCUCAUACUAGAAUCGUCUGGGGGUUGCGGACUGGGUAGGAGGUCCUGGAAAAUUACGUGGACUGCUACUGGGAUUACUUCCACUGAAGAGGGUUGCCGGAUGCUGAUCUGCUGUCAAGCUGUAUUUCCUGUCCUGUGUCCUUCUAAGUGAACACGAUGCCACGCGUGGUCUACGGUAGUCUUUGCUCCAGCUCCCCAUUCACUGCUGUAUUUGGUGUGGAUGUCUCUGCAGUAUGAGCUAUUUUAAGGAGUCAGGGCUGGAAGAGACACUGAGAGAGCUUCUGGCCCCCAUUCAAGGACCUCCUCCUAAACACUUCUCUGUGAUGCAUGAAAAGGAGAUGACAAACCUCUGUGCAGGCAAGCUGGGGUGCAAAAAAGCAAGGACAAUAGCGAGCCCAUCCAGAGCUUAAAGGACGUUUAUGGAAUGUGUAUGACUCUGGAAAGAAGUACUAGUGAUGCGCAGACUGAAUGAAGAGGAAGGAACUAUAAAGGGCCCUUUUAGUCUCCUGCUUCUGGAAGUCUUAGGGUCUUACAAAUGGUAGUCAUAGCCAUCUUUCCCCUCUAUCUCCUAUACAUCUCCUGCCAGCCAUGCUGAUGCUACAGGGCCUCCCAAAGUGCCUGUCUGUUCACUCCUCUGGGCUUUGGUAUGUGCCAUUUCUUCUGCCUGGGAUGCCCUCCCUUCCACCCCUUCUGCACCUUGAAGUCCUUGAAGGUCCAAUGCCAGCAAUUCUUUCUCUUUGAAUCUUUCACUGAUCUUCCCCAAAUAAAGUUAAACACUUUCAACACUUCUCUGUCCUAAAACUUCACUUGCUGUAUACAAUUGUUUGUUCAAAUAUCUGCCUCAUCCUUAAGGGAUGGGAUUAUGCCUGUCAGCUCUAUUUCCUAGCCCCUGGGACAGAGUUACUCUUUUAAAUGUCUAUCCUAUAGAAAUAAAAAAUUAAUUAAUGGGCA